ACAGAGGGUGCUAGCGUUAUUCGGAUUCACUGGGCGUAAAGGGCGUGUAGGCGGUUUGGUAAGUCUGAUGUGAAAUCCCUGGGCUCAAUCCAGGAAGUGCAUCGGAUACUGCUGAGCUAGAGCGUGAGAGAGGAGAACGGAAUUCCUGGUGUAGAGGUGAAAUUCGUAGAUAUCAGGAGGAACAACAGUGGCGAAGGCGGUUCUCUGGAUCAUUGCUGACGCUGAGGCGCGAAAGCGUGGGGAGCAAACAG
This 251-nucleotide ribosomal RNA is filed under the name uncultured prokaryote. RNAcentral describes it as "partial 16S rRNA". It matches the Rfam family "Bacterial small subunit ribosomal RNA", at positions 525 to 775 of the family's 1533-position model. The record is from RNAcentral.